This is a long non-coding RNA of Mirounga angustirostris (Northern elephant seal), 8178 nucleotides long. RefSeq lists it as uncharacterized. The transcript has 3 exons. The record is from RefSeq and is a predicted model, not a curated record. NCBI's taxonomy places the organism in Eukaryota, Metazoa, Chordata, Mammalia, Carnivora, Phocidae.
UGCUACGGAGUGUGAUGUGCCUGGGCUGUGGAUUCAGUGUUCCCCUCAGCGCGGCUCCAGUGCUGAGAUUCCAUCCUAUGGCAGGCUUGCCUAGUUGGUGUGGCGGUUGACCCAAGAUGGUGCCCAGAGAAUCUUGCAUCCUGGUAUUCUUGCCUUGGACACUGAGCAGGGUUGACCUAUGUGGCCGGGAGAAUACUGCUGAAGCAACGCUCUGUGGCUUCCGAGGCUGGGCUGUAAAAGCAUUCUGCAGCUUCUGUGUGGUCUCCUGGAUUUACACCAUCGGCAAGCCAGCCGCCAUACUGUGAGGACUCUCAGACAGCCCCCGUGGAGGCCCACGUGGGGAGGAACUGAUGAGCCCACCAACCGCUGGCACCAACUUACUUGCCAGCCACAUGGGUUGGCUAUGUGGAAGUAGAUCCUCCUGCCCCAGUCAGGCUUUGAGAGGACUGUGGCCCUCGCUGCCGUCCACCUGCAGUCCCCUGAGAAGCCCCAAGACAGAACUGCCCAGCCAUGCUGCUCCUGCAUUCCUGACAAUUCCUCAUAGAAACUGUGAGAAACAGGAAGUGAUUAUUGCUCUUUUAAGCCGCUAAGCUUCAGGGUAAUUUGUUACGCAACGCUAAAUGACUAAUACAGUUGAUUACUGUGGUUCUCCUAAGUUUCUAAGAUGGCUGCCCAGGAUCCCAGCCGCCAGCUUAUUCAUGCCUCAUGUGAUGCCCUCCCCUUGAGCGUGGACUGGACACAGUGACUCGCUUCUAAUGAAAGAACAAGACACACCUGAUGGGGUGUCACUUUGAGCUUAUAUUUCCAAAAGACGCUGGCUUCCAUUAUGUUUGCCUCUCUUGCUCUCUCACUGGCUCUGAGGAAAGCAAGCUGCCAUGUUGUGAGCUGCCCUGUGGAGGAGCCCACGUCGCCAAGAACUGAGGGACGUCUCCAGCCAACAGCCGGUGAGGAACCCAGACCAAGGGUCCAGCAGCUUGUGAGGAGCAGAAUCUCGCCAGCAACCAUGUGGGUGAGUUGAACCCCAGCAGACGCCUUGGUUCCAGACUUGUGAGAGACUCUGAACCCCAGGGCUCUGUAGCUGCCCCCAAAAUCCUACUGCACAGAAACUGUGAGGUAGUUAAUGCUUGUUGUUUGGAGCUGCUGAGUAUGGGGGUCAUUUGUUACGAAGUAGGGGGUAACUAACACAGUUCUGAUGAUUGGUGUCGACCUCCCCUACCCUGUCCCCAGGAGAGCUGCGUGGCUGUGGUCUACACUUGGGUCUCAGCCUGCCAUCCUAACCUUGGUCAUAGAAGGUGGCGGGGGGCCGUUGAGGGCAUGAGAAUAGGAGGGAGCACAACUUAUUACCUGCCACUUUCUGCAACACCAAGUCAGCCUCCGUAAGAGCAGAGGAGGUGAAUAAGCAGGUGGGUGAGACGUACAUUCAAGGCCAGGCUAUGCCACCUUGUACCCGUGUGGCCUUUAACAGAGGUACAAGAACUCCCCAGGCUCCAGUUGCCAAGAAGCCCUCCUGGCAGAGAGGGGAGCCGCAGAGUGAUCAGACUGCCCAGGCAGCACCAGCCAGAGAGCCGACACGCAGACUGAGCAAGAGGAUCUUGGGUGCUGGCACAUGGCGGGUGCUUGAUGCAACCUUAACCCUGUAGCUGUCGGGAUUCUCAGCCUCAUCGGCUUCAUGGCAGCCACUGUUGUAACGAUGUCCUCAUAGCACCUCCGGGUGCCCGGACCUGGGAGGACCUCGGGAGGAUGCCCGCUCUUCAGAGACCUCGAAGCCUCAGUUUGUGCAAUCACCCCUGCUUUGCUGGGGGCUUCCCGAAGGAAUGUUCCCUGGAUCUGGUCACCCCUCGUCCAGUGAGUAUGAGCCUGAGCUCUGCACGGCAUCCUGCCCAGAAUAGCAAUGGCUCGCUCAACUUUCUGGAAGUCUCCCGCUCUCCUCCUGCGUGCUGAGGGUCUCUGCCUUGCUUGGGUGUUUAUUUCUUGCUCUACGAAGCGAUGAUUUAAUUCUUGCCUGGGAUAUCAUUCAGCCCAAGUUCAUGCUGAAGUGAAACAUAUUUCAGCACCCACCAAUUUCCAUAUAGAUAAAAAAAGAAAAAAACAAGAAAGAAGGCAAACAGCCUCCACCAGCAUCUUCACAAAACUAUGCGUUUGAAACCUGUUUCUUGAAGAUGGAUUGCUCCAUCAGGCUGCUAAGAGGUUUUUCUUGACUUGUCAACAGUUUUAUACCCCCACAAACAUUCAUGGCUAUAAAUUAUUCAUUGCCCAGUUAGUGGUUAAAAAAAAAAAGGAUGCCUGGGGCCGAGGUACAUUCUUAAUUCUCCCUCUGCUUUUCAGAUCCAAGUUGUUUUUUUCCUUCCUGCUGCUGGAAAAAUAGAAAUAACUGCAAGUCUCUUGACUCAGAGGUUCAUGGCUAUGGGCCUAACGAGAAGGUCCUGCUGAGCCCAAUAUGAGCUUGGCUGGGAGGGUGUGGGUAGUCAUCUGUGGGUCACCUGAGUUCUCAAAUACAUGUGGAGGUGGGAAAUAGGUGUGUUGGGGGCUUUCUUCUUCUUCUUCUUCUUCUUUUCUCCUGUUGGCAGGAACUCCAGGGUUUUCAAAAAAGCAGAGAGGAGACUUGAUUCUAUUCUAGGCCCAGCCAUUUCAGAGACCAUGGCUGGAGAAGGUCUGAGACUUCCUCUGCUCACCGGCUUCCACCCUCCCUGGACCUCUCCCAGGGCGGGGAUCCUACCAGGAGAUAGCACGUCCCUUGUCUUUCUCCUUUUGCCUACCCUCUCUUGUCCAGCACACCCUUGGACGUCCCCCUGAACCUAACUGGCCUCCUCUUCCAGCAGGGUUUUUCAAGUCUACCGCCACCUGUGGGAUGUGGUUAGAGGUAGUGGGGGAGCGAGGUUUCAGAGCUUGGGGCCUGUAUGGGCCAUGACAAAGCUGUCCAAACUGGGUGGCUUAAAACAACAGAAAUCCAUUCUCUACAGUCCUGGAGGCUAGGAGUCAGGAAUGAAGAUGUCUGCAGGGCUGUGCUCGCUCCAGCCUCUGCCGCCAGGUAGAACCUUCCUCGCCUCUCCCUAGUUCCUGGGGAUGGCCCUCCAUCCCUGGCCUGCAGCUGGAGUUUCUACUUCAUUGUCAUAUGGUAUCCUCCCUGUGUGUCUCUUUGUCCCCCUCUCUUCUUCUAGGGACACCAAUCACAUGGAAUGAUGGGCCUACCCUACUCUUCAUCUUAACGUCCCCUGUUAUAUCUGCAAAGACCCUAUUUCCAAGUAAGGCCACAUUCACAGAGAGCAAGAGUUGGGAUUUCAACAUAUCUUUUUGAGGAACACAACUCAGCCCAUGACAGGGUCAGAGGAGGGAGGCACCUCCAGCGAUCGGGCCCAGAGCAGAGAUCAGAAGCUUCAGAAGGUCAAAGAGUUGGCACCUACUGAGAGCUCGCCUUCCCUCACAACACUCUGGCAUGUUAUUACCCCGAACGAGUGUCUGUUGCCCCAGCCCUGAGGCACAGUACCAGAGGCCUCUUCUCCGACUGGCUGCGGAUGGGCCAGGCUCUGGUGUGGGCCUGAACACCUGUCCUUUUCACAUGGGCUUAGAGAGAAAAUUGGGUUGACGGUAGGACUGACCCAUCUCGAAUGGGAACUGGAUGUCCCUGGAGAGUAGCUGCCUUGGACCUUGUCCAGUGGCCUGGUUUGAGAACCCAGUGUCCACCUGCCACAGCAGGACAUGUGGCCUCUUGUGUGGCCCCUUACUCCACCUUGACCCCCAGUUCCUCCCCCUUCCUCAUGUUUUCCCCAGGCAUUGGGGGCUUUGCUGGGCAGCAUCUCUGGGUGGGCUCUGGGAAGGCCUCUGGGGUCCCCUGUUCAAUCUGGAGAGAAUCGGCUGGUGGCAGCUCAGCAGUCUCAUGCCUGUGCCCUGCUGAGUGAGGCGGUGUUGUGUGGGGAGUGACAAUGGGACUGGACAUGGGGUUGUUUUCCCCCAACCCUAUUCCCUAAUGUGGGGAAAAGGAUUAAUCAUUUCAUUUCCAAUAUUUUGUAUGUGGAAUGCUGAGGAAGAGAAGUGGCCGAGAGUUUGGGCUUCCAGAGAAGACUUCCAGAUGCUGCAUUUGAAAACACCAGGGGACAUUAGGUUUUGUCAAGGACAUCGGUGCCCAACUUCUGUCACCUUUCACCAGCCCAGCUAUGGGGAAGGGGAAAGCAAUGGGGAAGGGGACAGCAGACCAAAGAGGCAGGGGCCCAAUGGUCCUGACUCAACUCAUUGGAUGUGGUUGUUACUUUCUGGGUUACCCACCUUUGAUUCAAUUUAAGUUUAAGUCAGAUCAAGAACCGCUGGAGCUCCUCUGAGACAGGCCACCCCUAGGUGUGGCAAUGAGGCAGUUUGGAGUGUAGGCAGCUGAGGGAAUGAAGAGGAGCUCGGUGGGAGCCCUUGGCCCAUGACGGUUGAGGGAGACAGAAACGAAAUGCCAAGCACCCCACAUAUGAUAUUUUAUGUACUCCUUAUACCCCCACAGAUGAGGUGACCUUGGCUCUGAGAGACCAAGUGAUCUACUCAGGUCACCUGGCUAGUAAGUGGCAGAGCCUCACAGGCCCAAAGUUCCUGAAUGGGAGGACUUCUUUUUCAGGCCAGUAGUUUACCCGUCCCUCUGGUCACAUAGUAGUGGGUGGUGGCUGAGUCCAAAUGAUCUUUGGGCAAAUGAGAUUCCUUCCCAGGGCUGAGGAUCUGAGUAGAAGCUUUUGGAGCGGAGUGCUGCCCCCUCCUUGGUUGUCUGGGGAGCCGCACGUGUGAUGCAUCUAGGUGCUAGCCAUAUUGAUGGAGGAACUGCAAACCCCAGGAUGGGCAGCCCACCACUGGGGCACCAAGGUGGGGAAUUACUCAGAGGAAGAAGCCAUAGCAGGGAAUGGAGGGAACGCACUCUCCUGGGAGCAGCGGGUGAAAAUUCUCUUUUCAUUCAAAGGCCAAAGAGUCAAAUAAAAGGAGGUCUUCUGAAAUGGGGCUUUUUCAGGGAGUACUAAGAAGCAUUUUGCAGAAAUCCAGACUGUUGUAAGGAGAAACAAGAGUAGCAAGAUGUCCCCAAAAUAAAUGUAUUAAUUAAUUCCAUCAUCUUUUCUAUCAUCCAGGUCAUUUAGUUUCUUUUUUUAUUAUUAUUAUUAUUUCUUUCUUAAGACUGGAUUCUUUGAAAUAAUCUGGAAAUGACUAUGUAGGUCAUUUGUUUUCUGUAUCUUUUAAAAAUUUAUUUUAUUAAAAAAUUUUAAAAUUCAAGUAUAAUUAAGAUACAGUGUUAUAUUCAUUUCAGGUGUACAACAUAAUGAUUCAACAAUUCUAUACAUUUUUUGGUGCUCAUCACAAUAAGUGUACUCUCUAUCUUUUUUUUAUUAAUAAUUUUGUUGAGAUGUAAUUCACCUAUCACAUAGUUCAUUCAUUCAAAGUGUACAACUCAGUGGUUUUUAGUAUAUUCAUCAAGCUCUGCAUCCACCACCAUGAUAAAUUUUGGAACAUUCUUUAUCCUCCAAGAGUACAGCCUUGGGCAGAGCUCCACCAGCCUGGGAUGGCAGUGGUCUCAGGAGGGCCCUCUUUGUCUGUUUUUGAUCUCUUUGUUGUCUACUUCAUUUGGUAAUAGACCCAGUCCCUUUCCACUAAUCACUGGCUGAUUGCUCAAUUGUUUUCAAAAAUGCCCUGGCAUAUAAAUUGUUCUCUGGUCUGAUCCAAUUAAGUUCAGGCAGCCUAUGAAGUUGGUUGGGAGCCCAGGAGGACUCUUCUUGGCUGUCUCUUUCCCUGGUUCUCUCUGGUGAACCAGCUGGCUUUUCGUUUAGCUGGUUGCUGUAAAUUAAGAGGAGCUGUUGUUUUCAGGAGUGCCCUUAGGCUUGAACUUCCCCACAUUCUGUUUUACAUACAGUCACUUCCUUCCUUCAGGGGUGCUUGGGAGCUCUUUCCCACACACUGCCUUCUCCCCUGGGCACGCUCUCUGAGCUCUAGCCCUGUGUGCCUCCCAUCUUCUCAGCUUGCCUCCCCCAUGGGAACUGUGCAGUAGGAGACAGCUUGCAGGGGGAAGCUGGGGUUCCGGUCUUCUUGGCCUGCCCUGCCUAGGGGCAGCUGGAAGGAAGGUAGUCCCGACCUCUCCACCACACUCCCCAGGAAUUCAGCCUUUUUAACUUGGAGUUGGAGGGCAUGAGGAAUGCUGGUGGCCUGUCCCUCCAUGAAGGAGAGAAAUGUGCUUGUGGCUGAAAUGCCACAGACUCUGGCUGUUCCUACUGCAUUUUAGUAGAUUUUCUUGAACAGAUGAUUCUUCAUUUGUCAUAUGCUCUUAGGACAGUUCCCAGAGACUUUAAAUGGGUUUUCUGUUUGUUUGUUUGUUUUGUUUUUUUAGUAGUUUUGCCAGCUUUGCUUGUUUCACUACGGAAUGGUCCAUGGAGUUAUUCAUGCUUUGUCCCAGAAGUGGAAACUAUUGUUUUACCCUAAUAAUGAAGGCAUCUUUAUAUUAAUGAAUUUAUCUCCAAAUAGAGCUUUUAUGGGAUGUGAUGAGUUUCAACAAGUCAUAUUCUGAUUUUCUGUUGUAUUUAUUAUUUUCUAAACUCAAUAAGAAGAAUAUUUUAGUUUUCAAAUGUGUUAUUGUCUAUCUAUCUAUCAUCUAUCUACCCAUCAUCUAUCAGUCUAUCUAUUUUUGGUUUUCAGGCUUUCAUUGUUCCAGUGUAGCUUUUGCUGGAUUUUCUGGUUUGGAAAAUGGCUUGUAUAAUUUCUGCCUUUUGUAACUUAAAAAGUUUAUCGUUUUGGACAAGUAAGUAUGUGAUAAGUUUUUGUAAAUGCUCUAUCACCACCAACUUGAGAAAAAGGUAUAUUCUCUGCUUGUGGGGCACAAAACUCAAUGUCUAUCUAUUUAAUGUUAUUAAUCAUGUUGUUCAGUCCCCUAGGUAUAUAACAGGCAAUACUCCAACAGAUGGAGAUGGGGUAGGAGGAGCAGAGCAAUUGUGAAGCAAACUUGUAAAGCGAUCUUGGCUAGCUCAUGGUGAUUUCAUGGGAAAUGCUACUUGACUCAUCUUCCCCAGAGGCUUAUCCAGGUAGAAUAGGGCACAGAUUCAUAAGACUUUUGGAUUAGAAGGGCCCUUGGAGAUUUUAUAGCUCCUCUUCCUGGCUUUACAAACAAGGACAAUGACUUGCCCAGGGUCACAUGGCUGGCAAACUCUGAAGCUGGGAACGGAAUGCGGGUCCUUGGAUUCUGGUAAGGGCAUGGAGUCUCUGUUUCUGCCCGGCUUCUGGUGUGCUGUAUCCUGUUUCAGACUUUAUUUUUGUCCCUGGGACAGUUAGUGCCUUAAGAAUGGGUGAGCUACAUCUCAUGAAAAAAAAAAAAGCCUUCUAUAUUUAUUUGUAGGUACUUUAUAAUUUGCUGGGCGCACUUUUAUAUGCCUCACCUAAUUUAGUCUUCAUAGUCCAGUGACAUUUAAGGCAGCGCUGAUACCUCAGUCCUGUGGGUGAAGAAAGCAGGGCUCAGAGACUCUAAGUCCACAUCAGCCCCAGGGUCUUCUGCCCCCCGCCCCCGAGGUCAUGCAUUCAAUCACAGGACCCUGGAGUCCAGUCCCAUCUUGGCCCAGAACCAAUAUUCAGACUUUCAUUUCCCAAGUGGUUCUUUUGGGGUAAAAUUGUAACAUCCUGUACGAUUUUUCUGUCCUCUAUUGGAACAGUACCCUAGGGAGCUGGCGGAGGUUCAUGAACACAGUGCUAGCAUUGUGCUUUGCUCAGCUGCUCUGUGAGAGACUCAGAAGCGCCAUGUGGGGAUGGCUGGGCUCUUGGACUGGAACACAGGACCAAGGCAGCAGUGAAGAGUGGCCUUCAUAAGUCUCCAUCCGUGAUGGAUUGGAAAUUGAGAAACAAAAUACCCACUAGUUCAUCACCAUAGAGGAUUUAAGUGCUGGGACCAGCCACUCCCUGGAAUUCCCCUCGUGCUGAGAUGCCAAGACCCUUUGAGGGGGAUGUGCCUUUGCCUGCAGUGACCUUGGGCCCCGACCCCUGGGAUUAAUUGCCAUGACAGAAAGACACAAGGCUGGCUUUUUGGGCCCUGGCCUGCUCACUUUGCCUGGGAAGUAGAGCCUUUAGGUACCUCUUGUUGUACCUAGAGGAGCCUGUUCUUAUUUAAAAUUUUGAUACUUUGUUCAUCAUGUUUGUUUUGCAUUCAUUUGGAUUAUUUAGAAUAUUACAUUAAAAUAUUAUUUUUCUUGA